Molecule: long non-coding RNA, 417 nt
Filed under: Mytilus galloprovincialis (Mediterranean mussel)
Lineage: Eukaryota; Metazoa; Mollusca; Bivalvia; Mytilida; Mytilidae
Source: RNAcentral
GUAGGACUUUUGAAAUAUACCCUAGUUUGUAUAUGGAUUUCUGGAAAACAAUCUACCCUCCCCCUUUUUUUGUUGUAAAAGGGAAGUGAUAAAAAUGUUAAUUUCACAUCAAAAUAGAUUUUUUUAAACUAUAAGCAAUUGUUGGCAAGGGUUCUGGACAGGGAGAUGGCAGCGCAUAAUAAGCUCAACGAUAAGUGAACAUUUUAUUGAAAAAAAGUGUUUUGUAAAAUUAUUUGUUAGCACAUGCAUGCUUACAAUCCUGUACUCAGUCUUGUGCUACGCCACUGAUUUAACCUUGAUCAUGUUUUGUUAGAGUUUAAAACAUAUUGUUGUCUCCAGAAAAUAUUACACCCAUGAAAGAUAAUUAAAGAUUAAGUAGAGGAAAGUUUUGGAUUACCAAUGCUCAUCCGUCAAAGC